GCGUUGUCCGGAAUCAUUGGGCGUAAAGCGCGUGUAGGCGGCUCGAUAAGUCCGGUGUGAAACCUUGGGGCUCAACCCCAAGCCUGCACUGGAUACUGCCGAGCUAGAGUCCGGGAGGGGAGAGCGGAAUUCCUAGUGUAGCGGUGAAAUGCGCAGAUAUUAGGAAGAACACCGGUGGCGAAGGCGGCUCUCUGGAACGGUACUGACGCUGAGACGCGAAAGCGUGGGGAGCGAACAGGAUUAGAUACCCUGGUAGUCCACGCCGUAAACGAUGGGCACUAGAUGUGGGCGGUGUCGACUCCGUCCGUGUCGAAGCUAACGCAUUAAGUGCCCCGCCUGGGGAGUACGGCCGCAAGGCUAAAACUCAAAGGAAUUGACG
Molecule: ribosomal RNA, 379 nt
Filed under: uncultured Actinomycetes bacterium
Lineage: Bacteria; Bacillati; Actinomycetota; Actinomycetes
Description: bacterial SSU rRNA
Rfam family: Bacterial small subunit ribosomal RNA
Source: RNAcentral